RNAcentral lists this long non-coding RNA (306 nucleotides) under Brassica napus (rape). Its description in RNAcentral is "long non-coding RNA (BNAP_LNC026957)". The record is from RNAcentral. Lineage: Eukaryota; Viridiplantae; Streptophyta; Magnoliopsida; Brassicales; Brassicaceae.
GUUCUGAUAUUAAGUCCUAAGUCUGGUUUAGGUACCGGAUUAGGCUUGGUGUGUAUUUGGUUAGUGUAGGCCUGACGUUGGCCUGUAUGUGUUUGAAGGAUUGCUUGUGAAGGGUUGUGGAUAUUAAAGCUAUGUGGUAUCAUUGGUUGGCCGAUCAUGUUCUUGUUGGUCGACCGGUUAAUGAUACUUGUAUAAUCUAAGUGUCUAACACUACAUGAGUACUGAAGUCAAGCGUAUAUAUGGUUAACUAGGGAUUGGUUGUUGACUUGUUUUAAUGCAGGUUCCCGUUACUUGAAGCUAGAUUAU